This 253-nucleotide ribosomal RNA is filed under the name uncultured bacterium. Its description in RNAcentral is "partial 16S ribosomal RNA". It matches the Rfam family "Bacterial small subunit ribosomal RNA", at positions 524 to 776 of the family's 1533-position model. The record is from RNAcentral.
UACGUAGAGAGCAAGCGUUGUCCGGAAUCAUUGGGCGUAAAGCGCGCGUAGGUGGCUUCGUAAGUCCGUUGUGAAAGUCAAAGGCUCAACCUUUGAAUGCCGAUGGAUACUGCGGAGCUAGAGUACGGAAGAGGCGAGUGGAAUUCCUGGUGUAGCGGUGGAAUGCGCAGAUAUCAGGAGGAACACCAAUAGCGAAGGCAGCUCGCUGGGACGUUACUGACACUAAGGCGCGAAAGCGUGGGGAGCGAACAGG